Molecule: ribosomal RNA, 499 nt
Filed under: uncultured bacterium
Lineage: Bacteria
Description: partial 16S ribosomal RNA
Rfam family: Bacterial small subunit ribosomal RNA
Source: RNAcentral
GACGAACGCUGGCGGCGCGCCUAACACAUGCAAGUCGAACGGGGUUAUGCUAGAUGAAGUUUUCGGAUGGAAUUUGGUAUAACCUAGUGGCGGACGGGUGAGUAACACGUGAGCAACCUGCCUAUCAGAAGGGGAUAACGAUUGGAAACGAUCGCUAAUACCGCAUGACAUAGCGGAAUCGCAUGGUUCUGUUAUCAAAGAUUUUAUCGCUGAUAGAUGGGCUCGCGUCCGAUUAGAUAGUUGGUGGGGUAAUGGCCUACCAAGUCGACGAUCGGUAGCCGGACUGAGAGGUCGAACGGCCACAUUGGGACUGAGACACGGCCCAGACUCCUACGGGAGGCAGCAGUGGGGGAUAUUGCACAAUGGGGGAAACCCUGAUGCAGCGACGCCGCGUGAGGGAAGACGAUCCUCUGGAUUGUAAACCUCUGUCUUCGGGGACGAAACGAGACGGUACCCGAGGAGGAAGCCACGGCUAACUACGUGCCAGCCGCCGCCGUAA